UUGCUUAAUAUCAUUCGAGUGGAUUCGUCCUCCUUAUGGGCCAAUUGGAUCAUCACCACUGUCUUGAAAGGGAGGAAUUUAUGGAAUUAUCAAGCCCCCUCAGAUUGCUCUUGGAUCUAGAAACAAGUCCUCAAGCUCAGGCAAACGGCUAGAAAUCAUGUUUCUUACAUUGUUGGCAAUGGCUCGAACACGAGUUUAUGGUUUGACCC
RNAcentral lists this long non-coding RNA (209 nucleotides) under Panax ginseng (ginseng). RNAcentral's name for it is "long non-coding RNA (PGIN_LNC010631)". Lineage: Eukaryota; Viridiplantae; Streptophyta; Magnoliopsida; Apiales; Araliaceae. The record is from RNAcentral.